CCAAUAGCGUAUAUUAAGGUUGCUGCGGUUAAAAAGCUCGUAGUUGAAUUUCGGGAUUGACACAUCGGUCGUGCCUUAAGGGGUAUGAACUGGCGUAGCCAAUUCCUCGUCUUCUGGUGAAUUGUGAUGCCUCUUUAACUGGGUGUUUCAAUGAACUAGGACUUUUACUUUGAAAAAAUUAGAGUGUUUAAAGCAGACAU
Molecule: ribosomal RNA, 200 nt
Filed under: uncultured Glomus
Lineage: Eukaryota; Fungi; Glomeromycota; Glomeromycetes; Glomerales; Glomeraceae
Description: partial small subunit ribosomal RNA
Rfam family: Eukaryotic small subunit ribosomal RNA
Source: RNAcentral